AGAGUUUGAUCCUGGCUCAGGACGAACGCUGGCGGCGUGCCUAAUACAUGCAAGUCGAGCGAGCGGAACUAACAGAUUUACUUCGGUAAUGACGUUAGGAAAGCGAGCGGCGGAUGGGUGAGUAACACGUGGGGAACCUGCCCCAUAGUCUAGGAUACCACUUGGAAACAGGUGCUAAUACCGGAUAAGAAAGCAGAUCGCAUGAUCAGCUUUUAAAAGGCGGCGUAAGCUGUCGCUAUGGGAUGGCCCCGCGGUGCAUUAGCUAGUUGGUAAGGUAAAGGCUUACCAAGGCGAUGAUGCAUAGCCGAGUUGAGAGACUGAUCGGCCACAUUGGUACUGAGACACGGCCCAAACUCCUACGGGAGGCAGCAGUAGGGAAUCUUCCACAAUGGACGCAAGUCUGAUGGAGCAACGCCGCGUGAGUGAAGAAGGUUUUCGGAUCGUAAAGCUCUGUUGUUGGUGAAGAAGGAUAGAGGUAGUAACUGGCCUUUAUUUGACGGUAAUCAACCAGAAAGUCACGGCUAACUACGUGCCAGCAGCCGCGGUAAUACGUAGGUGGCAAGCGUUGUCCGGGAUUUUAUUGGGGCGUAAAGCGAGCGC
RNAcentral lists this ribosomal RNA (600 nucleotides) under uncultured bacterium. RNAcentral's name for it is "bacterial SSU rRNA". It matches the Rfam family "Bacterial small subunit ribosomal RNA", at positions 8 to 572 of the family's 1533-position model. The record is from RNAcentral.